This 731-nucleotide ribosomal RNA is filed under the name uncultured bacterium. RNAcentral describes it as "bacterial SSU rRNA". It matches the Rfam family "Bacterial small subunit ribosomal RNA", at positions 134 to 851 of the family's 1533-position model. The record is from RNAcentral.
GAGACUGGGAUAACACCUGGAAACAGAUGCUAAUACCGGAUAACAACACUAGACGCAUGUCUAGAGUUUAAAAGAUGGUUCUGCUAUCACUCUUGGAUGGACCUGCGGUGCAUUAGCUAGUUGGUAAGGUAACGGCUUACCAAGGCAAUGAUGCAUAGCCGAGUUGAGAGACUGAUCGGCCACAUUGGGACUGAGACACGGCCCAAACUCCUACGGGAGGCAGCAGUAGGGAAUCUUCCACAAUGGACGCAAGUCUGAUGGAGCAACGCCGCGUGAGUGAAGAAGGGUUUCGGCUCGUAAAGCUCUGUUGGUAGUGAAGAAAGAUAGAGGUAGUAACUGGCCUUUAUUUGACGGUAAUUACCUAGAAAGUCACGGCUAACUACGUGCCAGCAGCCGCGGUAAUACGUAGGUGGCAAGCGUUGUCCGGAUUUAUUGGGCGUAAAGCGAGUGCAGGCGGUUCAAUAAGUCUGAUGUGAAAGCCUUCGGCUCAACCGGAGAAUUGCAUCAGAAACUGUUGAACUUGAGUGCAGAAGAAGAGAGUGGAACUCCAUGUGUAGCGGUGGAAUGCGUAGAUAUAUGGAAGAACACCAGUGGCGAAGGCGGCUCUCUGGUCUGCAACUGACGCUGAGGCUCGAAAGCAUGGGUAGCGAACAGGAUUAGAUACCCUGGUAGUCCAUGCCGUAAACGAUGAGUGCUAAGUGUUGGGAGGUUUCCGCCUCUCAGUGCUGCAG